This 87-nucleotide transfer RNA is filed under the name Opitutia bacterium. Its description in RNAcentral is "tRNA-Leu". It matches the Rfam family "tRNA". From Rfam's summary of the family: Transfer RNA (tRNA) molecules are approximately 80 nucleotides in length. Their secondary structure includes four short double-helical elements and three loops (D, anti-codon, and T loops). Further hydrogen bonds mediate the characteristic L-shaped molecular structure. tRNAs have two regions of fundamental functional importance: the anti-codon, which is responsible for specific mRNA codon recognition, and the 3' end, to which the tRNAs corresponding amino acid is attached (by aminoacyl-tRNA synthetases). tRNAs cope with the degeneracy of the genetic code in two manners: having more than one tRNA (with a specific anti-codon) for a particular amino acid; and 'wobble' base-pairing, i.e. permitting non-standard base-pairing at the 3rd anti-codon position. Lineage: Bacteria; Pseudomonadati; Verrucomicrobiota; Opitutia. The record is from RNAcentral.
GCCUAGAUGGCGGAAUUGGCAGACGCGGCGGACUCAAAAUCCGCUUCCCGCGAGGGAGUGGGGGUUCGACUCCCCCUCUGGGCACCA